AUUUGUCCCUUCCCUGCGUCCCACUUACAACUGUUGUGUUUUCUAAUCUUUCUGUCCCUUUCUUCCCAUCACAGAGGCAGCUGCUGGUGUUUGGAAGAGCCCUGCAGAGUGUUUGGAAGUGCCCUGCAGAGGCACUGGACCUGCUGGGCUGGGCAUGAUGGACUUGCUGCGAAGCCAGGAGCCGAGGAGACCCAUCCGACAGCAAACGGAGCUGCCAGCUGACUCCCUCUGCCUUCCAGAAGGAGACGUCUCACCAUCAAGCAGAGGCCAGCCAGCACUCGGGAGAUGAAUCUGCCCCAGGUUGUCCAGCUUCAAGACAAGAGCAAGACCUCCAUCACAAGGAUUAUUUCCACCAGCUCCUCUGCACCACUGAAAGGGAAGAGUUCAUUGUGCCAGUUUGGGCCAUUGAUGCCCGAGCCAUCCUGGACUUCCCUGGCCUGCUGGACUUCAGUCUGUCGGGUCAAGUGCAGCAC
This 473-nucleotide long non-coding RNA is filed under the name Lonchura striata (white-rumped munia). RNAcentral's name for it is "domestica (Bengalese finch) lncRNA (ENSLSDG00000015555.1)". Lineage: Eukaryota; Metazoa; Chordata; Aves; Passeriformes; Estrildidae. The record is from RNAcentral.